RNAcentral lists this ribosomal RNA (484 nucleotides) under uncultured bacterium. Its description in RNAcentral is "partial 16S ribosomal RNA". It matches the Rfam family "Bacterial small subunit ribosomal RNA", at positions 28 to 507 of the family's 1533-position model. The record is from RNAcentral.
AUUGAACGCUGGCGGCAUGCUUUACACAUGCAAGUCGAACGGCAGCGCGGGCUUCGGCCUGGCGGCGAGUGGCGAACGGGUGAGUAAUGCAUCGGAACGUGCCCAGUAGUGGGGGAUAGCCCGGCGAAAGCCGGAUUAAUACCGCAUACGACCUGAGGGUGUAAGCGGGGGACCGAAAGGCCUUGCGCCCUUGCAGCGGCCGAUGUCGGAUUAGCUAGUUGGUGGGGUAAAGGCUUACCAAGGCGACGAUCCGUAGCUGGUCUGAGAGGACGACCAGCCACACUGGGACUGAGACACGGGCCAGACUCCUACGGGAGGCAGCAGUGGGGAAUUUUGGACAAUGGGGGCAACCCUGAUCCAGCCAUGCCGCGUGGGGGAAGAAGGCCUUCGGGUUGUAAACCGCUUUUGUUCGGGAAGAAAACCUCUGGGCUAAUACCCCGGGGGGAUGACGGUACCGGAAGAAUAAGCACCGGCUAACUACGUG